This 480-nucleotide ribosomal RNA is filed under the name uncultured bacterium. Its description in RNAcentral is "partial 16S ribosomal RNA". It matches the Rfam family "Bacterial small subunit ribosomal RNA", at positions 28 to 507 of the family's 1533-position model. The record is from RNAcentral.
GACGAACGCUGGCGGCGUGCUUAACACAUGCAAGUCGAACGAUGAAGCAAAGACUUGAAGCUUCGGCAGAAAUUCAUUUCGGAUUAGUGGCAGACGGGUGAGUAACGCGUGAGCAACCUACCUCUUACAAAGGGAUAGCCUCGGGAAACCGGGAUUAAUACCAUAUAACAUUGCGACGAAGCAUUUCGAUGCAAUCAAAGCUACGGCGGUAAGAGAUGGGCUCGCGUCCCAUUAACCAGAUGGUGAGGUAACGGCUCACCAUAGUAACGAUGGGUAACCGGCCUGAGAGGGUGAACGGUCACACUGGAACUGAGACACGGUCCAGACUCCUACGGGAGGCAGCAGUGGGGAAUAUUGCACAAUGGAGGGAACUCUGAUGCAGCGACGCCGCGUGAGUGAUGAAGGAAUUCGUUUCGUAAAACUCUGUUCUAUGGGAAGAAAAGGACUGUACCAUAGGAGAAAGCUCCGGCUAAAUACGUG